This is a long non-coding RNA of Suricata suricatta (meerkat), 949 nucleotides long. RefSeq lists it as uncharacterized. NCBI's taxonomy places the organism in Eukaryota, Metazoa, Chordata, Mammalia, Carnivora, Herpestidae. The record is from RefSeq and is a predicted model, not a curated record. The transcript has 2 exons.
CUCCCCCACAGCCUUCUCCCUCACCCUUGUGCCUUCCCUUGCCCUCUCACCCCUGCCCCCUCACUCAUCCCUCUCCAGCUGCCUGACUGUGCUCCUCACACACAGCAGGUGCACUUGGCAUGUGCUCAGUUGCACCGGCUGCGCUCCCCCUGCCCGGAUGCUCACCCCCAGCUGUCUGCUUGGCUCCCUGCCACCUCCUGGGAGCUCCGACUGCUCUGGGCGCACCCAGAAGGGCGGGCGGGCUCCGGACCGCAGCAGGAAAGCAAGUAUUGCAACCAAGUGGGUCAAAUGAUUUUUUUUGUUUCCCGGUUAUGUUUACACAAUACUGUCAGUUAUUAAGUGUGCAACGGCAUUGUGUCUAAAAAACAACGUAGGUGCCUUCAGUACAAAAAUACUCUGUCGCUAACAACAGCUGGCCGUCACCUGAGCUUCCGGCCUGCGCGGCCCUCUGCUGGGGGGGGGGGGGCUGCCCCGAUGCUGCCGGCCGCCCGCUGGGCCCCUGGCGGCUGUGGAAGCCGGGGCGUCGGUGGGAAGUUCUCAAACACGACGACAGCGUGCAGUGUGCUACGGCAGUGGGCCCGUUUUGUCCCGAGCGAGGUCUCCCGAGCGUGUGAUGCUGUUUGAUAGGAUGUUACUCUGGGCCACGGUAGAGUGGUCGUUGGGACCCCUUAGCAUCCUUGAGAAAGUUGUUUUUCAGGUGCCGCACAAGAGCGGGUGAGGCAAUGUCAUGAGGACAGAGCCCCGUGUCGCACGGCCGUAGAGGCGUCCCGGUGACCUCGUGGUCAGUCAGCGCCAGGUGGCACGAGGCGGCAGGCCCCUCGGCGCCGUUCAUCCGAAGCCGUUCAUCUCAAAGACCUGCUGCCUGGACCCCACUCCGCAGGGGCUCUGACUGAUGGGAGGAGGGGAGUGGACACGCAACGCUGGCAUUUAAACAUUUUUUAAAUGUUUA